This 950-nucleotide ribosomal RNA is filed under the name Klebsiella variicola. RNAcentral describes it as "bacterial SSU rRNA". It matches the Rfam family "Bacterial small subunit ribosomal RNA", at positions 42 to 991 of the family's 1533-position model. Lineage: Bacteria; Pseudomonadati; Pseudomonadota; Gammaproteobacteria; Enterobacterales; Enterobacteriaceae. The record is from RNAcentral.
GCGGCCUACACAUGCAGUCGAGCGGUAGCACAGAGAGCUUGCUCUCGGGUGACGAGCGGCGGACGGGUGAGUAAUGUCUGGGAAACUGCCUGAUGGAGGGGGAUAACUACUGGAAACGGUAGCUAAUACCGCAUAACGUCGCAGACCAAAGUGGGGGACCUUCGGGCCUCAGCCAUCAGAUGUGCCCAGAUGGGAUUAGCUGGUAGGUGGGGUAACGGCUCACCUAGGCGACGAUCCCUAGCUGGUCUGAGAGGAUGACCAGCCACACUGGAACUGAGACACGGUCCAAACUCCUACGGGAGGCAGCAGUGGGGAAUAUUGCACAAUGGGCGCAGGCCUGAUGCACCCAUGCCGCGAGUGUGAAGAACGCCUUCGGGUUGUAAAGCACUUUCAGCGGGGAGGAAGGCGGUGAGGUUAAUAACCUCAUCGAUUGACGUUACCCGCAGAAGAAGCACCGGCUAACUCUAUGCCAGCAGCCGCGGUAAUACGGAGGGUGCAAGCGUUAAUCGGAAUUACUGGGCGUAAAGCGCACGCAGGCGGUCUGUCAAGUCGGAUGUGAAAUCCCCGGGCUCAACCUGGGAACUGCAUUCGAAACUGGCAGGCUAGAGUCUUGUAGAGGGGGGUAGAAUUCCAGGUGUAGCGGUGAAAUGCGUAGAGAUCUGGAGGAAUACCGGUGGCGAAGGCGGCCCCCUGGACGAAGACUGACGCUCAUGUGCGAACGCGUGGGGAGCAAACAUGAUUAGAUACCCUGGUAGUCCACGCUGUAGGCGAUCUCGAUCUGGAGGUUGUGCCCUUGAAGGCGUGUCUUCCGGAGCUACGCGUUAAAUCGACCGCCCCGCGAGUACAGGACGCAGGUAAACUCAAAUGAAGUCGACUGGGGGCCGCACCAGCGGUGUAUCACGUGCAUUAGUACGAUGCAGCCGCGCAGACCUACCUGUCUUGACAUCCAC